GGCCAGCGUGGCGUAGUGGUUUGUGUGUUGGACUAUUACUCUGGAGACCCGCGUUCGAUUCCCAGCUCGGCCA
Phrynosoma platyrhinos (Desert horned lizard) is the source of this 73-nucleotide non-coding RNA. The record is from the annotation of a GenBank genome assembly. Lineage: Eukaryota; Metazoa; Chordata; Lepidosauria; Squamata; Phrynosomatidae.